CCAGGAUUAGUAGUGCAGGUCUCUGAGAACUGAGGCCAUGGUGAGAGGCUCCAGGGAAAUAUGACAGGCGCAGAGGUAAGGAAGAGGCAAAUGGUAGAUGAAGUCAGCAAAGACUCACAUGCUACCCUGCGUCGGGAUGGUGGAAGGCCCAUGAGGAGCCUCUUAAAGACCUUGCCAUGUAUUCCAGGUGUUACCAUUGCCUUACUUGCUGAUAAACCUUGGAUUGGAUAGUCUGCUUCCCUCAUCACCUUCCCAGGUGUGAGUCAGAGUGGGAAAUUCGUGCCCAAUCAGCCCCUGAGAUCUCUGCCUCUCUGUUCUGGAGCAGAGGCCGUGAACACCGCACAGCCACACUCCACCCAGCAGGCAUUUGAGUGUGCUGUUGGGCAGCAGCCACUGGGAGGCAGCCAGUUUCUACUGUCAGGUUUUCACAGGAGGGUGUUAGAGACAACCCAGUGAUGCCCAAAAGCAACAUGACAAAUACUGUGUGACUACUGUCCGUUGCAAGGCCUCACAGGGCGCUGCGGUCAACCGGAGAAGGGAGGAGUUUGGCGGAAGUAGGUGAGAAGUUUCUGGAGGUGGUGACACGUCAGCUGAGAGCCUUCUGAAAAAUCUUUGGAGAAAAGGACUACUAUUCAUCCCCAAAUGAGGAGGGCAGACUGACUGGAAUGGAAAAGAGUUGACCUGGACCUGCUGGUUGGAGUUGCUGGUUCCUUUCAGUCGCGCUCAUGUUGACUAUUGGCCUCAUGUGGCUUGUGACUAGAACCUACAUCAAGAAGGAAAAUUCUC
Long non-coding RNA from Herpailurus yagouaroundi (jaguarundi), 786 nucleotides. RefSeq lists it as uncharacterized. The record is from RefSeq and is a predicted model, not a curated record. The transcript is spliced from 3 exons. Lineage: Eukaryota; Metazoa; Chordata; Mammalia; Carnivora; Felidae.